Molecule: long non-coding RNA, 3045 nt
Organism: Chenopodium quinoa (quinoa)
Lineage: Eukaryota; Viridiplantae; Streptophyta; Magnoliopsida; Caryophyllales; Amaranthaceae
Exons: 4
Source: RefSeq, a predicted model, not a curated record
GCGUGCGUCUUCAAAAACAACAAAUUCGAAUCAAUUUUGAACCAAAAAUCAGAAAUUUGAGAUGGCUGGAGAAACUGAUACCAACAACAAUGGAGGUAACAACGCUUUUAAUGAAGAUAAGAAGCCUGCUCCUGAAAUUGAGUUUGAGGCGAAAGAAAGGCGGUGGCGAUGAGGGUGAUCCCGAGAUGCAGGAGAUUUAGGAUACCAUUGCUGGUGGUAAUUCUGAGGUCAUAUUUUUGACUUCAUAGUGUUUAUGUUUUUUCAUCUUCUUGUAUUGCAGAGUUAUUAGCUAUUGAUAGGUUGUGGUUUGCUGCUAAUUAAAAGUAAUUGUCUUUGCUCUAUUGAACUGUGCUUGAUUCUAUAUUUUCCAUGUACUUGGCUCUUAAUUUGUGCUUUAAAAUACCAAUUGCCAAAGACUUAUGAAGUCUAGUCUAGAUUGAAAUAUAGUAGUUGGAGUAAAAUGGAACUCGGUUUUACUUUGACAAUUUAGAGAUGAUAGGAAGAGUUAAAAUUUGCAUCUGCGAAUGCUAGACUUAUGAAUUCAUAGAAAAACAGCUUACUUUUUGCAGUAUGAGAAGAUAAAAGGUAUAUUCUUGGCUGCACUUCAGUAGUUCAGUGUGUUAGCUUAGUGUGGGAUCUUGGUUUUUAUAAGAUUGUUGCCCUCCAAAACUAGUUAUGUUUGGGCAAUUGUUUAUGGGGUUCAAAUCAUGAGAGUGGUUUUUAGUCCUCAUUUGAACUAUUCUUCUUGUUUGUGAGAUUCAUGUCUUUUCUACGCAAAAUUAGUAUUGGUAUUUCAAUUUACUCUCCAACAUACAUUGUUGGUCCAUUGUACUCCAUAUUCUAUUGCAAUAGUAGAAAUUUCAAUACAACACUACAAAUUUAGCUCUACUUCAUUCUCAUACUCGAAUUUCUCUCUCCUUAAUUGGUUGAAUUUAUUAAUCCUUAAUUUCUACCAGCUUAUUUUAGUAUGAUUUUUUCUUCAAUUCGGUUUGAUUUCUACUAAUUAAGUUUUUUUCUGGAUUCGAGAUUAAGGAUUUUUAAUUGUGAGGAAAAUUUGGGAUAAUUCGAGAAAUUUUGACUAAUUUUCUGUUAGCUUUGUGUGUCACGAUUGAGCAUAGAAUUGUUACUAUAAGAAUCACUAAUCUUUAUUUCUGAGGAAUCCAAUUACCUGUAUUCUACCCACUUGAAUAAUGCCCACCACCUGUUCGACAAAAUUACCACUUUUGCUACUAAGCUCUGUUUUGAUGAUCAUCGUUUUGGUUCGACCCUUGUUAAUAAUGUGUGUUGUUGUGAUGGUUUAGUUUUUGUUUGUGACGAGAAAAGCAAUAUGUUGAUGGUAAACCCGACAACGAGGGAGAUUAAGGAGUUGCCGAGUCCGCGGUAUGUUCAGAUGUUCUUUAUCCUUAUGCUAGUUUUACUAUGUAUGGAAUUGGGUAUGCAGAAUUGAUCCUCUGACCUUGUAGACCAUUGGGGGGGGAUGCAGAUUUACAUGAUCUAUCAUUCUCUACUGGAUUAGGCUUGACAAAUCCCUCCCUGUUCUUUCAUUGUUCUUCAAUUUUUGUUUUGUUUUCUGUUUUUUUUUUUUCCCGCUUAUUGCCUUUAUUAGAUCUAUGAUGUCUAACAUUUGAACUUGUAUGACUACACUAACUAUAUUAGCAAGCUUAAGAAUAGUUUAUCUCAAAAUAGCAAUGCAAAUACUUUAAAAGCAUACUUAAGGAUAUCACAUACAUAAUUGGUACUGGACAGUGGCUGCAGGGCAGCAAUUAACUAAAUCAACUUAUUCCUCAUUCUUGUUGUCCGGCGUUUAUAGUCUUUUGAUCAGUUUGCUUAACAUUUAAUUCUGUGACGAUAAUUAUACAAUCUAAUUUGCUGCAUUUCAAUUUGGAGUUGUAUGCUCAUGUUGGUAGAUGUUUUCUCUGACCAAGUGACUAGGAAAGAACCAAAGGAAUUGAUAAAACUUGUCAGAUCUCUUACAGUGGACAGCAAUGGAACUUUUGGUGAAACUACUCCAAGUAAGCGAACCCCGGCAAUUAUGGAAGCCAGGAAAUGGCAGCAAGAGAAAAGAUCAGGCUUAAAGAAAAAGUUUAAGUAGUCAGUACCAUUCCAAGUUUGGAGGAGGGGAAGUGCUGUGAUGUCUGGAGGAUUGCUUUAUUACAUGUUACUCAGACCAAAUGUUGUCUUAUAUAAUGUGUAUUACUAUAUCUGCUAUCUAUAUGAGCACACAACUUGUUUUAAGGCUUGUUAUUAUGAUUUUUUUUUUCCGGCUUGUUUUAAGGCAGGAUUUCCUUCCUUAUAUGAGUACUGUUAUGCUUCUUCUUCUUUAGUCAGCUUAGCUUAUACCUAAUGUGACCAUCUCCUCUGCAGACUGAUAAUGAUAUUGAAGAUUCCGAUGAUGAAAGUUAAAUCUAGGACUCUUUUGGAUGAAGGUCAAGUCUAAGCAAUUGUGGAUGAAAUCAAGCAGGUCCUCACUGCUAGCUCGAGUAGAAAAAGAGAGGUCAGCGAGGGCUAAAGUAGAGGACUAUGAUGCUGAAGAGAGUAAUUUACUUAAAGAGGAAAAUGAGCAGUAAGAAAAAGAGAGCGAUCAGAGAGGGCCAAAUCUUAGAAGUGAGUCCCCUUGGUUGAAAACUAUAAUCCUUGGUGUGAUCACUUAAGUGAUCACCCAUACAGCCUGAACAGAGUAGAAACACGGCCACAGAAGCAAAACAGGUGCCCAGCCAGCCUGAACAAGACAGAAGCACAACAACGCAGCAGAAUAGAAACAGCAGCACAGCAAACAGUAGAGCAGCCUGUCAGCUUGAACACACAACAACACAGCAGCCAGCAGAGCAGCCACCAGCACAAGACCAGGACAGCUCCUGCUGGAACUCAGACCAGGAACAGGACAUCAACAUAGAACAGUAGCCAAACUGAAGAAAAAUAACAAUCACUAAAAUAGUAUGUUGUUCUUGAGCCCUUGCAGCCACUUACAAUGUUGUCUUGUCCAUUUUUAAUGAAAAUAUGUAACUUUAUAUAUAUGUUAGUGUUUAUAUGUCAAUUUAAGUGAAA